CCUACGGGAGGCUGCAGUGGGGAAUAUUGCUCAAUGGCGGAAACCCUGAUGCAGCGACGCCGCGUGAGUGAAGACGUAUUUCGGUAUUUUAAGCUCUAUCAGCAGGGAAGAAAAUGACGGUACCUGUUUAAGAAGCCCCGUCUAAAUACGUACCAGCAGCCGCGGUAAUACGGAGGGGGCAAGCGUUAUCCGGAUUUACUGGGUGUAAAGGGGGCGUAGACGGCAGCACGAGUGCGGAGUGAAAAGCCCGGGGUUAACCCCGGAACUGCCUUGGAAACUGUGCAGCUAGAGUGCAUGAGAGGUAAGUGGAAUGCCUAGUGUAGCGGUGAAAUGCGUAGAUAUUACGAGGAACACCAGUGGCGAAGGCGGCUUACUGGACUGUAACUGACGUUGAUGCACGAAAGCGUGGGGAGCAAACAGGAUUAGAUACCCCAGUAGUC
RNAcentral lists this ribosomal RNA (440 nucleotides) under uncultured bacterium. RNAcentral's name for it is "partial 16S ribosomal RNA". It matches the Rfam family "Bacterial small subunit ribosomal RNA", at positions 338 to 795 of the family's 1533-position model. The record is from RNAcentral.